UAACCCGCACCACUUAUCGUGGUGGGAGACAGUGUCAGGCGGGCAGUUUGACUGGGGCGGUCGCCUCCUAAAAGGUAACGGAGGCGCUCAAAGGGUCCCUCAGAAUGGUUGGAAAUCAUUCAUAGAGGGUAAAGGCAUAAGGGAGCUUGACUGCGAGACCUACAAGUCGAGCAGGGUCGAAAGACGGACUUAGUGAUCCGGUGGGUCCGCAUGGAAGGGCCAUCGCUCAACGGAUA
RNAcentral lists this ribosomal RNA (236 nucleotides) under Staphylococcus aureus. RNAcentral's name for it is "partial 23S ribosomal RNA". It matches the Rfam family "Bacterial large subunit ribosomal RNA", at positions 2223 to 2458 of the family's 2925-position model. Lineage: Bacteria; Bacillati; Bacillota; Bacilli; Caryophanales; Staphylococcaceae. The record is from RNAcentral.